CGGGCCGUGGAUGGUGGCGGCGAUCCGCUGGUUGCAGCAGUGCGAGGACGGCGCCAUCGAGAUGGGCCUGCAGAUCCUGGCCGCGCGCGCCGAC
Molecule: transfer RNA, 94 nt
Filed under: Chitiniphilus shinanonensis
Lineage: Bacteria; Pseudomonadati; Pseudomonadota; Betaproteobacteria; Neisseriales; Chitinibacteraceae
Description: tRNA-Ala
Source: RNAcentral